UACGGAGGGUGCAAGCGUUAUCCGGAUUCACUGGGUUUAAAGGGUGCGUAGGUGGUCUGUUAAGUCAGCGGUGAAAGCCUGGAGCUCAACUCCAGAAUUGCCAUUGAUACUGACGGACUUGAAUCAAGUUGAGGUGGAUGGAAUAUUACAUGUAGCGGUGAAAUGCUUAGAUAUGUAAUAGAACACCGAUUGCGAAGGCAGUUCACUAAGCUUGUAUUGACACUGAGGCACGAAAGCGUGGGGAUCAAACAGG
This 253-nucleotide ribosomal RNA is filed under the name uncultured bacterium. RNAcentral's name for it is "partial 16S ribosomal RNA". It matches the Rfam family "Bacterial small subunit ribosomal RNA", at positions 524 to 776 of the family's 1533-position model. The record is from RNAcentral.